RNAcentral lists this ribosomal RNA (446 nucleotides) under uncultured bacterium. RNAcentral's name for it is "bacterial SSU rRNA". It matches the Rfam family "Bacterial small subunit ribosomal RNA", at positions 329 to 792 of the family's 1533-position model. The record is from RNAcentral.
GGCCAGACUCCUACGGGAGGCAGCAGUGGGGGAUAUUGCACAAUGGGGGAAACCCUGAUGCAGCGACGCCGCGUGUGGGAAGACGGUCCUCUGGAUUGUAAACCACUGUCCCCAGGGACGAAAAUGACGGUACCUGGGGAGGAAGCUCCGGCUAACUACGUGCCAGCAGCCGCGGUAAUACGUAGGGAGCGAGCGUUGUCCGGAAUUACUGGGUGUAAAGGGAGCGUAGGCGGGGAUGCAAGUUGGGUGCCAAAACUGCCGACUCAACUGGUAGUCGCACUCAAAACUGCAGCUCUUGAGUGGAGUAGAGGCAGGCGGAAUUCCUAGUGUAGCGGUGAAAUGCGUAGAUAUUAGGAGGAACACCAGUGGCGAAGGCGGCCUGCUGGACAGUAACUGACGCUGAGGCGCGAAAGCGUGGGGAGCAAACAGGAUUAGAUCCCCGAGUA